UACGAAGGGUGCAAACGUUGCUCGGAAUUAUUGGGCGUAAAGAGCUCGUAGGCGGUUCGUCGCGUCGGCUGUGAAAUCCCGAGGCUCAACCUCGGGUCUGCAGUCGAUACGGGCGGACUGGAGUACUGCAGGGGAGACUGGAAUUCCUGGUGUAGCGGUGAAAUGCGCAGAUAUCAGGAGGAACACCGGUGGCGAAGGCGGGUCUCUGGGCAGUUUCUGACACUGAUGCGCGACAGCGUGGGGAGCAAACAGG
Molecule: ribosomal RNA, 253 nt
Filed under: uncultured bacterium
Lineage: Bacteria
Description: partial 16S ribosomal RNA
Rfam family: Bacterial small subunit ribosomal RNA
Source: RNAcentral